AGGGCAUACGGUGGAUGCCUAGGCGCCAAGAGCCGAAGAAGGACGCGGUAAGCUGCGAAAAGCCACGGGGAACUGCAAGCAAGUAUUGAUCCGUGGAUAUCCGAAUGGGGAAACCCGGCCAUCGUCAUGGAUGGUCACCCGCAAGGGAGGGAACCUGGGGAACUGAAACAUCUAAGUACCCGGAGGAAGAGAAAUCAAACGAGAUGCCCACAGUAGCGGCGAGCGAAGAGGGCAGAGCCCAAACCGAGAAGCUCCGGCUUUUCGGGGUUGAGGACCGGCAGAAUCGAAGUCAGGCCUAGUCGAAUUACCUGGAAAGGUAAGCGAGAGAGGGUAAAAGCCCCGUAGACGAAAGGCAGAGCAGAGAGGCCGAGAUCCAGAGUACCACGAAGCACGAGGAAUUUUGUGGGAAGCAGGGGGGACCACCCUCCAAGGCUAAAAACUACUUGGCGACCGAUAGCGCAUAGUACCGUGAGGGAAAGGUGAAAAGAACCCCGGGAGGGGAGUGAAAUAGUACCUGAAACCGUAUGUCUACAAGCAGUCGAAGCGAAAGCGACGGCGUGCCUAUUGAAGAAUGAACCAACGAGUUAUCUGCACUAGCGAGGUUAAGUGGAAGACACGGAGCCGCAGCGAAAGCGAGUCUUAAGAGGGCGCUAGUUAGUGUAGGUAGACCCGAAACCGCAGUGAUCUACCCAUGUCCAGGUUGAAGCGCAGGUAAAAUUGCGUGGAGGACCGAACCGGUGAGCGUUGAAAAGCUUUCGGAUGAGAUGUGGGUAGGGGUGAAAUUCCAAUCGAACGCGGAGAUAGCUGGUUCUCCCCGAAAUAGCUUUAGGGCUAGCCUGAGGUAGUAAGUAUAGGCGGUAGAGCACUGAUCGGGCUAGGGGCCGUAAAGGUUACCGAACCCUGUCAAACUCCGAAUGGAUAUACUGUAGAGCCUUGGAGUCAGACUACGAGUGAUAAGAUCCGUGGUCAAAAGGGAAACAGCCCAGACCACCAGCUAAGGUCCCCAAUGUCGUACUAAGUGGAAAAGGAUGUGGGGUUUCAUAAACAACCAGGAUGUUGGCUCAGAAGCAGCCACCAUUUAAAGAGUGCGUAAUAGCUCACUGGUCGAGAGACCCUGCGCCGAAGAUUCCCGGGGCUAAAGUACGAAACCGAAGCUGUGGCUGUAUACGUAAAGUAUACGGGGUAGGGGAGCGUUCCCAUAGGGUAGAAGUCGAACUGGAAGGUUCGGUGGACUUGUGGGAAGUGAGAAUGUUGGUAUGAGUAGCGAAAAGAAAGGUGAGAAUCCUUUCCACCGAAAGCAUAAGGAUUCCUGAGCAACGAUCGUCGUCUCAGGGUAAGUCGGGACCUAAUCCGAGGCAGAGAGCGUAGGAGAUGGACAACUGGUUGAUAUUCCAGUACCGGUAGUAAUUGUUUGAGCAAUGGAGUGACACAGAAGGGCAGGCAAGCAUGCGAAUGGAAGAGCAUGUGUAAGCGUGUAGGGUGGUGCAUAGGCAAAUCCGUGCACUGAAAGCCUGAGGCGUGAUGCGGAGUGAGCAGAGAUGCGAGCGAAGUUGUUGACCCCACACUGUCGAGAAAAGCUUCUAGUGAGAGAGCUACCGCCCGUACCGUAAACCGACACAGGUAUGCGGGGAGAGAAUCCUAAGGUGCGCGGGAGAACCCUCGUUAAGGAACUCGGCAAAAUGUACCCGUAACUUCGGGAUAAGGGUAGCCACUGUUGUGAAGUCCCAUGCGGAUGGAGCAUAGAGUGGUCGCAGAGAAGAGGCCCAAGCGACUGUUUACCAUAAACACAGGUGCCUGCUAAAGCGAAAGCUGACGUAUAGGUGCUGACACCUGCCCAGUGCCGGAAGGUUAAGGAAGGAUGUUCGGAUUAGUCCAAAGCAUUCGACUGAAGCCCCGGUGAACGGCGGCCGUAACUAUAACGGUCCUAAGGUAGCGAAAUUCCUUGUCGGGUAAGUUCCGACCCGCACGAAAGGUGUAACGAUUUGGGCACUGUCUCAACGAGGGACCCGGUGAAAUUGAAAUACCUGUGAAGAUGCAGGUUACCCGCGACUGGACAGAAAGACCCCAUGGAGCUUUACUGUAACCUGACAUUGGGUUUUGAUACAUUACGUACAGGAUAGGUGGGAGGCUUGGAAAGUUGGACGCUAGUCUGACUGGAGCCGACGUUGGGAUACCACCCUUGAUGUAUUGAAAUUCUAACCGCGAGAGUAACGAAAUCCGGGACAGUGUCAGGCGGGCAGUUUGACUGGGGCGGUCGCCUC
RNAcentral lists this ribosomal RNA (2261 nucleotides) under human gut metagenome. RNAcentral's name for it is "bacterial LSU rRNA". It matches the Rfam family "Bacterial large subunit ribosomal RNA", at positions 14 to 2289 of the family's 2925-position model. The record is from RNAcentral.